This 478-nucleotide ribosomal RNA is filed under the name uncultured bacterium. Its description in RNAcentral is "partial 16S ribosomal RNA". It matches the Rfam family "Bacterial small subunit ribosomal RNA", at positions 28 to 523 of the family's 1533-position model. The record is from RNAcentral.
GACGAACGCUGGCGGCGUGCUUAACACAUGCAGGUCGAACGGUAAGGCCCUUCGGGGUACACGAGUGGCGAACGGGUGAGUAACACGUGGGUGAUCUGCCCUGCACUUCGGGAUAAGCCUGGGAAACUGGGUCUAAUACCGGAUAGGACUCCGGACUGCAUGGUCUGGGGUGGAAAGCUUUUGCGGUGUGGGAUGGGCCCGCGGCCUAUCAGCUUGUUGGUGGGGUGAUGGCCUACCAAGGCGACGACGGGUAGCCGGCCUGAGAGGGUGACCGGCCACAAUGGGACUGAGAUACGGCCCAGACUGCUACGGGAGGCAGCAGUGGGGAAUAUUGCACAAUGGGCGCAAGCCUGAUGCAGCGACGCCGCGUGAGGGAUGACGGCCUUCGGGUUGUAAACCUCUUUCAGCAUCGACGAAGCGAAAGUGACGGUAGGUGCAGAAGAAGGACCGGCCAACUACGUGCCAGCAGCCGCAGUAA